UGGGGAAUAUUGGACAAUGGGCGCAAGCCUGAUCCAGCCAUGCCGCGUGAGUGAUGAAGGCCUUAGGGUUGUAAAGCUCUUUUGUCCGGGAAGAUAAUGACUGUACCGGAAGAAUAAGCCCCGGCUAACUUCGUGCCAGCAGCCGCGGUAAUACGAAGGGGGCUAGCGUUGCUCGGAAUCACUGGGCGUAAAGGGCGCGUAGGCGGAUUAAUAAGUCAGGGGUGAAAUCCCGGGGCUCAACCUCGGAAUUGCCUUUGAUACUGUUAGUCUUGAGAUAGGAAGAGGUAAGUGGAAUUGCGAGUGUAGAGGUGAAAUUCGUAGAUAUUCGCAAGAACACCGGUGGCGAAGGCGACUUACUGGUCCUUAUCUGACGCUGAGGCGCGAAAGCGUGGGGAGCAAA
RNAcentral lists this ribosomal RNA (400 nucleotides) under uncultured bacterium. RNAcentral's name for it is "bacterial SSU rRNA". It matches the Rfam family "Bacterial small subunit ribosomal RNA", at positions 355 to 772 of the family's 1533-position model. The record is from RNAcentral.